Molecule: non-coding RNA, 36 nt
Filed under: unclassified sequences
Description: DUF805b RNA
Rfam family: DUF805b RNA
About the family: Bacteroidetes, Chlorobi (1 example), Proteobacteria. Lineage (Flavobacteria)
Source: RNAcentral
UCGGCAUUAUCCGAAAAGCCGUAAAGAGAGUAGGAG